Molecule: ribosomal RNA, 458 nt
Filed under: uncultured bacterium
Lineage: Bacteria
Description: partial 16S ribosomal RNA
Rfam family: Bacterial small subunit ribosomal RNA
Source: RNAcentral
CCUACGGGGAGCAGCAGUGGGGAAUAUUGGUCAAUGGGCGAGAGCCUGAACCAGCCAAGUCGCGUGAGUGAGUACUGCCCUAUGGGUUGUAAACCUCUUUUGUCGGGGAGCAAAAGCCGGACGUGUCCGGCUGUGAGAGUACCCGAAGAAAAAGCAUCGGCUAACUCCGUGCCAGCAGCCGCGGUAAUACUGGGUAUGCGAGCGUUAUCCGGAUUUAUGGGGUUUAAAGGGUGCGGACGCGGAAGAUCAAGUCAGCGGGAAAAUUGAGCGGCUCAAACUCGUCGAGCCGUUGAAACUGGUUUUCUUGAGUGAGCGAGAAGUAUGCGGAAUGCGUGGUGUAGCGGUGAAAUGCAUAGAUAUCACGCAGAACUCCGAUUGCGAAGGCAGCAUACCGGCGCUCAACUGACGCUCAUGCACGAAAGUGUGGGUAUCGAACAGGAUUAGAUACCCGGGUAGUC